This is a non-coding RNA of Capsicum annuum, 107 nucleotides long. NCBI's taxonomy places the organism in Eukaryota, Viridiplantae, Streptophyta, Magnoliopsida, Solanales, Solanaceae. The record is from Rfam.
UGAUGAUGGUGAGGGAAAUUUUUGAGCAUACCCUUAAAUCUCUCCCAAUCUUGGUAGAGUUUCUCUCUGUCUUUCUAACUAAAAUUCAAGAUCUCACUCCUCAAGCA